RNAcentral lists this long non-coding RNA (326 nucleotides) under Salvia miltiorrhiza (redroot sage). RNAcentral describes it as "long non-coding RNA (SMIL_LNC012349)". Lineage: Eukaryota; Viridiplantae; Streptophyta; Magnoliopsida; Lamiales; Lamiaceae. The record is from RNAcentral.
GGUGUAGUGGAUGUAUUGCAGUAGUGGAGUUGGUGGUGUGCUGCAGUAGAGGAGUUAGUGGUGGGAGUAGGUGUAGGAAUAAAAAAUAAAAUAAAAUAAAAUAAGAUAAAAUAAAAUAAAAAGUCUUCCAGGUUGUACUAUGAAAACUGUAAUAAUCGUUCAGUGUUUGCUUAAAUAAAAGCUCGUAAAAAUGCUUUGAAUGCUAAAUUAAAUAAAUAUGCGACGCACAUAAAUUUAAUAACUAAAUUUAUAAAUGUUUUUUUUUAAACACUUUUGUUGGAAUUAAAAUAAACUCUUUUUCUCAAUCCGGCGUGAAUCAUCUUAAA